Molecule: ribosomal RNA, 253 nt
Filed under: uncultured bacterium
Lineage: Bacteria
Description: partial 16S ribosomal RNA
Rfam family: Bacterial small subunit ribosomal RNA
Source: RNAcentral
UACAGAGGUGGCAAGCGUUGUUCGGAAUUACUGGGCGUGAAGGGCGCGUAGGCGGUUCGUUAAGUCCUGUGUGAAAUCCCCCGGCUCAACUGGGGAACUGCACAGGAAACUAGCGGGCUUGAGUUCGGGAGAGGGAAGCGGAAUUCCGGGUGUAGCGGUGAAAUGCGUAGAUAUCCGGAGGAACACCGGUGGCGAAGGCGGCUUCCUGGACCGACACUGACGCUGAGGCGCGAAAGCUAGGGGAGCAAACGGG